RNAcentral lists this unclassified non-coding RNA (1087 nucleotides) under Leishmania donovani. Its description in RNAcentral is "gene:unknown". Lineage: Eukaryota; Euglenozoa; Kinetoplastea; Trypanosomatida; Trypanosomatidae. The record is from RNAcentral.
CUAGUGUGCUUGUCUGCAUGCUUGCAUGCGCAUGCGUAUGCGCCUGUGCAUUGUGGCAGGACACUCGUCCAACCGCUCAUCAUACCUCUCGCAUAAGCCGUUCAUUUUCUUCGAUAACCUUUAAAUGGUAAGAAAAGGGGUAUGCAGUGCUGGUAUGGUAUCAUUCAGUAGAGGUCUGUGCUCGAUUAGCGAAUUCGGAUCUGCUUCUCUGUUGUUGUCCAAUACCUCUCUGGCUCUCUGGGUGUGUUUCUUUCAUGCCGUCGCCAUGUGCGGCGCUCACACGUAUGUGGAUGGCAUGUAGGAGAAGGAGGGGGGGGGCGUUUGCAUUGCACCGUCCUCCGCCCUCCUCUUUUCAGCCCUCGAGCCAUCUAAGGUAAAAAGGAAAAGGACAUGCACACACAGAGCAGACUCGCGUGUUCUCUUCGUUCCGCAUGUGAGGGCGGAGAGGAAUGUGGAGUGGAGCAUCAGCAGGCCCCGUAAACAGGCGAGUGGGGGACGAGGGUGUGGAUGCCAGCGGGCAGACGGGGGGCGCAGAAGAGGGCAACAACAUAACCGUUUUUCGCUCCUUCUGUGUUUGCGCGCGAACCCCACCACGCAUCCUCGAAAACACCCAGAUAAAGAGUGUGUGCCCUCUCUUUCUCUCUCGCGUUUGUUCUCCUCCUUUAGGCCAACCCGAGAAACCUUUGCCGGAUAACGGCACCCAUUGGGAAGAACGCACGCCUUCUGUCCCUCCACUUGCACUCCUUUCUCGCAUGCAUCCGAACAUGUAGUCUUUCUCGUCAUCGAUGGACAGGCUCUCCGCACGUUCACCUCCUUUACCGUGCUUUUUUCACUCCAAGCCUCACGCCUAUUCCUCCCUCCCGCCCUAUCCGUCCGGCAAUUUUGCACAUCAAUCGGCACUCCAUUUUUCCCCAAUUGCGUCCUCCCUUUCUGCCGUCAUCAUCUAUCGCGCACCUCGCGCACUAUGCAUGCACUCACUCCAUCUGAUUCAUCCCGCAAACUGCACGUUUCACCUCCCCUCCUCGCUUACUACGGCACCUAUUUUCCACCUCAACACCCGCCGACAUUAAAGCCGACACGUGCACAC